CUGUUGAACCGAGGCUUGUUUUUAUAGCAAUUAGGUUCCAUUAAAAAUGUUAUUUUGAAGAUGGCUGUCUUAACUGGAUCUAUCCCAAGGCACGCAUUUACUGAUGUACACAGCAGUGCUGAACUGUAUAAUUCCAGGUUCGUGAGCCACAAAAAUAUUGUGCAAGUUAGUUCAAAAUGGAUUGAAACAUUAUUAGAUGAUGGGAGAGGAGGGAAAAUAAUCUCCAGAGACUGUGUGCGAAGACAGAAGACUUCUGCUUUAGGAAAUACCAAAUCAAGACUGAUUUGAUAAUCAGAGAGAGAAAAUGGUGUUUCCAAAAAUCACAGGAAACACUUGAAGCAAGACAUUUUGGCACUUUUGAUGGAUAUUGAGUAGAAAGCAUGAGAUGGUGCUAUACAGAGAAGAGUCACAGAAGUAACAGUCUCAACAACCAAAGCUAACAGAGAAACAGUUCCUCACUGAAAGAACUUUUCUUUCUGUAAAACACGAGAAGUGUUAGUGUUGAAAACAAACCUUUUGUGGAUAUAGAUUAAAGGGA
RNAcentral lists this long non-coding RNA (538 nucleotides) under Numida meleagris (helmeted guineafowl). RNAcentral's name for it is "lncRNA (ENSNMEG00000017158.1)". Lineage: Eukaryota; Metazoa; Chordata; Aves; Galliformes; Numididae. The record is from RNAcentral.